GGAUGUGCGUUCUUGUGGGGGGUUUGGGCCCUGUGAUCAGGAGAGAUGACACCGACAUCGCCGGAAUUCGUUCUUGGUCUUGUGCCAUGAUGAAUUGAUGGUCCGUUUGAUGCAGGUGUCAUCUCCCCUGAACAUAGGACUGACUGACCCUGAAUGGAU
Molecule: microRNA precursor, 159 nt
Filed under: Oryza sativa Japonica Group (Japanese rice)
Lineage: Eukaryota; Viridiplantae; Streptophyta; Magnoliopsida; Poales; Poaceae
Description: osa-MIR1318
Source: RNAcentral